CUAACUAGUCAAGUCAACCUUAAAUUAGGUUGACUAGUGACUAUUUGGCGAGGUCAAACUGGCUGCUUUCCUUAAUCUGUUAUGAAGACUGCUGUUUAAUAAGCUGUUAUGAACAGCUUUCAUGUGACUGGAUUUCUCAUCCCAUCUGGACUGCAAGGUGCCCCAAAUUUAUAAGGUCGACGCAAGUUCAACUCUAUAACCACGUGGCCAUAUUUCACUUCAGGUUUAAUAUAGGCCUAAAUAGGGUAUCCGAGUUCCUGGCAGUGCCAGCUGGAAGAACCACAGGCCGAUGCCAACAUCCCCCCCUUUACCUGGCAUUGUGCCCUCUGCGUGCCCGUGCCGUGCACUGAGUUGCUGAGACAACCAAAGCAGUGAAGUGGAGCAGUCCCAGCUGCAGCCCAGAGCACUGUGCCGGGGGGCUGCACAUGUCGUCAGCUCUGGUUUGCAUUAUGCAGGUCUUACUGCAGGGAGUUUGAUUAAUGGCUGGAGUCAGAGGGGACAGACACAGGAGCUCAGAGGGAGUUGCACACAACAGCAUUCUGCACACAGCACCACAAUACAGCACUACGUCUCCAGUGCACAGGAUCACAGUGUGGUUUCCUGGGCUGCAAACAGGAGGUCACUGAGAGCGAACUAGAGGAGACGUCUGAGCCAGAUGAUGUCAGCUUACACUCAUCCUCACACACACACACAAUCAUGAAGUCACGCACACUCCACCCACGUUAUGCGUGAUCAGUUGCAGGAUAUGACAAUGCUGCCGGUGGAUAUUAAUACCCCUUUAGCUCAUCUGAAUGCAGCCGGCACGCUGGAGAAAAUAUCUGACAGGUGCUAUUUUUAGAUCUGCAGGCAAGCACACAGGGAUCCACUAGAGCUCAAUACCGGCUAUUUUGGAGUGCAGCACUCACAGAAAUAGCAACGGCAUAUUGAAUCCAGAGGAGAGGGACAAAGAAACCUGGCUAUGGAUGUGCGCUCUCUAUUUAUAGCGCAACGGCAGCAAUUAACGCUGCAGAGAACAUGAGAGUACAAACCACAAAUACUGCAGACACUCAGGCGCUUAUGUUUAUCCUACUCUGGCGUAAGACACGGUCUGCUUGUGGUAUCUGAUUUGGGAUCAGCUGUCUUCAUCAGCCUGUGUCCAAAACAAGCGUAGGACAAAGAACUUACUUGAUCUGGAUAGUUUUAUAAACUGCAGCUCUCAAGUCUUAGCCACAAUCCAAAAAUGUCUUUAGAGGGAUAGUUUGCCAAAAAAUAUUAAUUCUGUCACGAUUUACUCACUCUUAAGUUGUACCACACCCAUGCAACUGACUUGCUUCUGUGGAACUCUAGAAGAGAAUUUCUAAGGAAUACCCUGGCCACUCUCUUGUGUAUAAUGAAAGUGAAUGAGAAGUGGGGCUGUCAAACUCUAAAAAGCACAAUAAAAGU
Molecule: long non-coding RNA, 1422 nt
Organism: Sinocyclocheilus rhinocerous
Lineage: Eukaryota; Metazoa; Chordata; Actinopteri; Cypriniformes; Cyprinidae
Exons: 4
Source: RefSeq, a predicted model, not a curated record